UGCUUCGUGAAUACAUACUAAGUAAUUUCCUGCCCAGUGAAUAUUAAACGGCCGCGGUACCCUAACCGUGCAAAGGUAGCAUAAUAAUUUGUCCAUUAAUUGUGGACUAGAAUGAACGGAGAAACAAAAUAAGUACUGUUUCAAUGAGAAUACUAAAAACUAUUAUUAAAGUGAAGAAACUUUAAUGCAGUAAAAGGACAAGAAGACCCUAUAGAGCUUUAUUUUAAAUGUUUAAAAAACACACUAAAUUCGGUUGGGGCGACCCAGGAAAAAUCAUCCUUAAAAUUUUAGACAAACCAGUCCAAAUGACCCUUUAAAAAGAUCAACGAACCAAGCUACCUUAGGGAUAACAGGCUAAUCCUAUUAUAGAGCUCCUAUCGAUAAUAGGGAUUGGCACCUCGAUGUUGGCUUAGAAUAUCUUUACGACGCAGAAGUCAUAAUAAGAAGGUUUGUUCAACCUAUAACAUUCU
RNAcentral lists this ribosomal RNA (470 nucleotides) under Chamaedrilus sphagnetorum. RNAcentral's name for it is "partial 16S ribosomal RNA". It matches the Rfam family "Bacterial large subunit ribosomal RNA", at positions 1816 to 2597 of the family's 2925-position model. The record is from RNAcentral. Lineage: Eukaryota; Metazoa; Annelida; Clitellata; Enchytraeida; Enchytraeidae.